This 251-nucleotide ribosomal RNA is filed under the name uncultured bacterium. RNAcentral describes it as "partial 16S ribosomal RNA". It matches the Rfam family "Bacterial small subunit ribosomal RNA", at positions 525 to 775 of the family's 1533-position model. The record is from RNAcentral.
ACGUAGGUGGCAAGCGUUGUCCGGAUUUACUGGGCGUAAAGGGAGCGUAGGUGGAUAUUUAAGUGGGAUGUGAAAUACUCGGGCUUAACCUGGGUGCUGCAUUCCAAACUGGAUAUCUAGAGUGCAGGAGAGGAAAGUAGAAUUCCUAGUGUAGCGGUGAAAUGCGUAGAGAUUAGGAAGAAUACCAGUGGCGAAGGCGACUUUCUGGACUGUAACUGACACUGAGGCUCGAAAGCGUGGGGAGCAAACAG